GUUCUCACUUCAGGAGCACGUAUACUAAAAUUGGAACAAUACAGAGAAGAUUAGCUUGGCCACUGCACAGGAUGACAUGCAAGUUCAUGAAGCGUUCCAUAUUUUU
Loxodonta africana (African savanna elephant) is the source of this 106-nucleotide small nuclear RNA. Lineage: Eukaryota; Metazoa; Chordata; Mammalia; Proboscidea; Elephantidae. The record is from Ensembl.